This 498-nucleotide ribosomal RNA is filed under the name uncultured bacterium. RNAcentral describes it as "partial 16S ribosomal RNA". It matches the Rfam family "Bacterial small subunit ribosomal RNA", at positions 30 to 523 of the family's 1533-position model. The record is from RNAcentral.
AUUGAACGCUGGCGGCAUGUCUUACACAUGCAAGUCGAACGGUAACAGGUCUUCGGACGCUGACGAGUGGCGAACGGGUGAGUAAUACAUCGGAACGUGCCCAGUCGUGGGGGAUAACUACUCGAAAGAGUAGCUAAUACCGCAUACGAUCUGAGGAUGAAAGCGGGGGACCUUCGGGCCUCGCGCGAUUGGAGCGGCCGAUGGCAGAUUAGGUAGUUGGUGGGAUAAAAGCUUACCAAGACGACGAUCUGUAGCUGGUCUGAGAGGACGACCAGCCACACUGGGACUGAGACACGGCCCAGACUCCUACGGGAGGCAGCAGUGGGGAAUUUUGGACAAUGGGCGAAAGCCUGAUCCAGCAAUGCCGCGUGCAGGAUGAAGGCCUUCGGGUUGUAAACUGCUUUUGUACGGAACGAAAAAGCUCCUUCUAAUACAGGGGGCCCAUGACGGUACCGUAAGAAUAAGCACCGGCUAACUACGUGCCAGCAGCCGCCGCAG